AAACAGCCCCCUAUGUAUUGGAUCUUUGGCAGUUUUGGCCCCAAUGCCAUUUUUGACUUAGUCUUCGCUGACGUGACACCCACAAUGGUCGACACGUGGCACCUCAUUUAAGGGAUGUGAGUUGUCAGCAAAGACUAAGUCAAAAGUGGUUUUGGGGGCCAAAACUACCAAAGAUUCAAUACAUAGGGGGCUGUUU
Molecule: microRNA precursor, 196 nt
Organism: Medicago truncatula (barrel medic)
Lineage: Eukaryota; Viridiplantae; Streptophyta; Magnoliopsida; Fabales; Fabaceae
Rfam family: MIR2619 microRNA precursor family
Source: Rfam